RNAcentral lists this long non-coding RNA (262 nucleotides) under Phaseolus vulgaris (common bean). Its description in RNAcentral is "long non-coding RNA (PVUL_LNC001765)". The record is from RNAcentral. Lineage: Eukaryota; Viridiplantae; Streptophyta; Magnoliopsida; Fabales; Fabaceae.
AAAAGCCCAACAGAGACCCAAAAACCCCAGUUUUGACAAAAACCUUAAGCAAUGUGAUUGAACUUAGCAUAAAAGUAAAAAAUUUGGGGAAGUGACUAAUAGUGACGACUUACAAAUCUAUUAAUAGGGGUUUUAAGCUUGAGAAUAAUGAUAACUCUUUUAUCUCUUCUUUGUAAAAGUAAAAGUAGUAGUGUUCGAGGUAACAUUAUCUUUUACAGCAAGUAUUGAAAAACGAUUCUUAUGUUAUUCUAGUUAUUUUUUA